This is a non-coding RNA of Chiloscyllium plagiosum (whitespotted bambooshark), 1816 nucleotides long. The record is from RefSeq and is a predicted model, not a curated record. NCBI's taxonomy places the organism in Eukaryota, Metazoa, Chordata, Chondrichthyes, Orectolobiformes, Hemiscylliidae.
UUAUGCAAAUUCUUUCUCAGCCAUCUGUGCUUUGAGUUUUUUUCUCUCUCGCUGAAACAAGUACAAACACAUCCUGCUCUAUCGUAGCGUCUCCUGGGGUGUUUGCAGGCCUGUGAGAAACGACAGAGUUCUUUUGUGCGCUUUCCAACAGUGUACCCAAGAGAGAUGAAGAUUUACAGUUUACAUGGCGUCCCCAGACAGGGAUUUGAAGGGGAAAGAAUCUUCAUUGAAAGGUGUUUUGCCAAACAGUUUAUCGUUUGGGGAGCAAGUGAAGUCAAAACAGAGUUUCUUUUCAGGAACUAGUAAAGGAGACUUUUCUUUCUAUUCAUGCUGAGCAUGAUACAAACGCAGGUCUCAAGGAGAACGGACAGCAUUGUGAACCAUUGUGCCAUCCAGUUUUUCACAGGAAGACUUCACAUUUCCUUUCAGAGUUACCUGUCACUGCUGUCAAUUAUUUACUCAACUUCAUCUUACAGUUUGCCUUAAAGUUUUAAACUUGGAAUCUAUAGGAACCGUGAGAUUCUCUCAACUAUUUGGUAAGAAUCAUUCCAGUCAUCUUUGUGUUGGAAAAGGUUUUAUUUUCAGAGACAGUUGUAUUUAAAAGUGCAGACAAAAUCUAACGAACCCAGCAAUCUGUGUAUUUAACUGAAUUUAGCUUUAAUUUGCCAAAGUGGAAUAGCACAGAGAAAACAGGGAGAAAAAAUAGGAAGCACUUGAUGCUCUCAUAUUUCCCUGAAACCGUACACAAUCAAUUUCUUAAAGUUCACCAACGUGACUAUUGGUGUACAAGGUAAUGGUUCUGAAAGAGUUAAUGCUGUAGCUGCAUUAAACUCUACCAAUCUGAUAAUGACCCACAAACCUAGGGUGAAGAGAAACGACUCGAACAUUUUUCUGAAUAUUGGCAGGCAUUUCAUUUACAAUUCCUAAUAGAUUUUGCUAAUGUUAUAGUGACAGAUCAGAACCCAGAAAUUUUUAUCGACUUUUUAAAUAUUUAUUCCAAAAUGACUGUUUUCUUUUCCAAAAAAAGAAGGGGAUUGCUAUAGGGAACAAAAGCUCUGGAUGUGUAAGUUCUGUGGUUGUCUGACAAAGUCCUGUUUAAGCCCCUGGAUUGAUGUACCUGUACAGUGUUAGGUAAACUUCAAACUGGGAGAAACUUAACAAGAAAAGAUAAUAAUAUGGCUGACUAUCCCACCUCUCAGCAGAAAGAUAUUCUUACAGAAAAAUCUGUUUUAUCUUCCAACGAUAUGCAAGAUUGCAAUGCAAAUUUAUCUGUACUAUUGACCAGGCCAUAUUAAUAUGUGAGCUGGAACGCUGUCAGGAUGAUAGCUUUGAGAACAAAAACGUUAACAUCCCUGCACUGCAGGUAAAACAAAGGAAAUGACUCUUCCUCAUUUUGAAUGCUGGAAUUCAGUCACUGUAAAAAAAACUAGUAAACUCAUUGUUAGUAGUUCAAGUAGUCACAAUGGCCCCCUUUGUCAUUGCAAUACUUCUGUCAUUCUGUGAACUUUGCUCCUUUUAAAAUCUAAAUUCAUUUGGGUCUGUGAGAAAGGUAUCUACAAGGGAAGGGAAUCUUCUUAUAGAUUAACCUUGUUGCUUUCAAAUGAGCAUGCCAGGUAAACAAACAAGGGGAGUUGGUUCAUCCCUCCUCUCCGGGGAGCUAAAUGACUUUGGAUAUCUUGCUUGGAACCAUAACAAAUUGGGCAACCUUUCCCAUGGUCUGUCAUGAAAUAAACUAUAUUUUAUUAUUAAGACAUGUGUCUCUUCUCAUUAAGACUCAAUAGUGAUUUACCCUGGGCCACUGCAAAUUGGAUGUGUC